UGUUCAUUUAAAAUGCCAAUCGAGAAGUUUUUUUCAGAUCCCAUCCUUAACAGCACAUCAAGAUCUCUUGUUGUGAAUAAUAAUUUACAUCCUCUGUGCUCAACUCCAAAAGGAAUGCCAAUAGUCCCCAAAUCAAGAGGUUUCCAGAUGUUAUCGAGAAUCACAAGGAUCUUCUUCUCAUUCUUCAAUCUUUCAUAUAGUCUACUAGCUCUUCUAGACUCAGCUUCCUCAGACAACUCUAGGCCUAACGUUUCCGCAAUUUCCUCUUGGAUCUUUCUUAUGUCUGGACAUUGGGUAACCUCCGAAAAAACCACCAUAUCGUAAAGCUUGUCUUCAAUGGCUCGCCUUGCAAACUCCUUCACCAGUGUCGUCUUUCCAAUGCCGCCCAUGCCGUACAGCCCAAUGAUGCUGACAUCAACAUCGAUCAAUGCAUUUUGUAUGGCCUUCAAAGUAGAAAGUCUUGAUUCGAAGGCUUCGUAGCCUUUGUGAGACUUGAGCCAUAUAUCCUCCGGAAUGGUACGGUAGGAAAUUCCAUCAACAAAUCUCCCAGCUUCUUCUCGGAGUUUAACAAUGGCCUUCACCUUUGUGUCUGCUUUCUUGCUAAGCUGAUAGCGGGUCUUCAAAUUAGGACACAAGCCCAUGAGACAUCGUUUAUUUGUUGUCUUCUCAUCAUCAAUGAAUUUGGCUGCCUGCUCAAUGAUGAUGUUCGCACUAACCAGCCACUUCUCAACCCUCUCUUCAAUAUUUUCCCCUUUUCUUUCAGCCUCAGAAACCCUGUGCUGAAUGCUUCUCCUUUCAUCCUUGAGCUUGUCUAUUUCUGCCUCGAGUUUCUCAACGUUGGCUUUAUAGUUACGCAAAUAACCAAGUCGGCGUUCUGUUGGAGGAGCCAAGCAUUUAACAAAUUCUAAAACAAUAGUAACAAUGCUUUCCACCAUCCCGGAUCCCUUUUCUUUUUUUCGAAGUUUCUGACAAGAAAAUAAACAAUGAGCGAAACACAGAGAGAGUGAGGAGAAAAAGAAAAAGAAACGCAAAGAUGGACAGUUUAUCUGGUUGUGGAAGCGGAGAAAUGAAAGAAAUCGUAAUAGCUGUUAUGGAUCUGCUGAGAAGAUGGAAACAAGGAAAAGGUUUCUAGUUCAACAACUGGAUUGCGAGCGGAGAGACUAAUUAACAAAGACUGGAGAUUACAACAAAGCAGAUGCCAAGAGAAAAGUUGAUCCAGUGAAAUUCAAGAGAGUUGACAGCAAAAGGGAGCAAAGAUUAAUAACAAAACAGCAGUGACUACAAUGAACAAAAGCAUAUGCGUUUCUUGAUUGAGAAUGAGUGCAAAGAAUGAUCCUUAAUCAAUAAAAUAUCUAACAAUAUCUUCACCGAAAGUUUGAGACAUGUGAUCCUUAUUCCACUGCGUCAAUUACACUCCAGACCAAUGCUGCCGUCAUUAUCGAACGGUCGAUAUCCAACACUUGCACGAAGAUUCCAAGAAGUCGCGUGGCUGCCGACUUUUAGAUGCAAAGCCUCAUUGUGUCGAUGUUACACGAAAGAGAGCAGUCCGGGUAAUUGCCAAAACUUAGAACUAAACAGUAGCUUAGUCAGAAAAUCAAACGCCAGUACCGGUAAAAUGACCGAUAAAAAUAUAAAGAAAUAAAAAUUUUAAAGUUUUACUUCAUUGCUUUUUUAAUCUUAUUACUAUUUCUCCUUGCACUUCUAAAGAAACCAAAGCUUUAAAAGAAAUCAGCCAAAUCACGAAGAUUGAAAAGUAAAUCUAUGGUUUUAGAUUUUUAUUUUAUUUUUUUAGAUAAUAGAUAUUGUUGAGUAAUGAAAAGUAUCAGCUCAGCUAUCCCCUCUUCCCUCACCCUGGGGCGAAUCUCCCCAGAUGAAUGUCACGAGCAGAUUCUUGGUAAUACAUCUUGUACGGGGCAUAUGCCGACUAGAAGUGAGUACCGACCACAUGUACAUACCGACCACAUACUCAUUAUUCAAAGAAAGAGGACACGAUCUCACAAACUCACGACAGUUUUGUCAUGCCCCAAACCGUUGGGGAGAACAUGACGCCCCACGUUUACCCACGAUUCGGUGGUUGGAGACCCAUGAAGGUCCGUCAUCACCCGAAAAUGAGGGGCAUGAAUAAUACUCAGAAAACAUGGGAUGAUUGCCAAUAAAAGGCCAAGAAAUAGAUGAAAAAGGGGAGACACAAAUUGAGAGUAAAACUCUGUCAAAUUAUAAUCAGGAAUUCAUAUAUCCAAAUCCUUGAUACAUUUGGUAUUGAGAAUAUUGCAACUAAUAUGUACAACACAAAUCAUUCACUUUUCUCGUAAACACCUUGUACUAACUUAAGUAUCGAAGGGUUUAUGCCCAAAAAACCACCGGCGUCUCUGAUUUGUUUCUGUGAACGCAGGCCUGGAAGGAAGAAGACAGGUGAUUUGGGUCCCAGAAGCUCGGGAAAUUGCUGAAGCUAAUGGAUCGCAGCCUCUGUUCCUUUUUCAAUACAAGCAUUGGUGAACCAAUCUGGUCGGUCCAAAGGCGAUCAAAUUUCAGCAUCAACAGAUAUUAUUUUGGUGAAUUUUUUAAUAUUAGAAUAAUGUUAGGAAUUCCAAUAGUAAAAUUCUAACUUGAGACCCAAUUGUUAUUGAAAUACUAGCUAGGCAACCCAAGAGGGGGGGUGAAUUGGAAUUUUAAAAAUUAUCCUAAGCAAACCACACAACAAUUCAAUCUAAUGCCUUAAUCAAUUCGAAAACAAUAAAUUCAAUGAAACACAAUAUUAAAAGAGUAAGGAAAGAGAAAACGAACACAAGGAUUUUUACAUGGUUCGGCUAUCCCCGCCUACGUCCACGCCUCCAAGCUCACCCGGCUUGAGGAUUUCACUAUCCAAGCCUCCCAAUGCUUCAAAUGUUUACAAUUGACUUCCAAGGUGUCAAUGAACCUUUACAACAAGAGAUUAUAUCCCCAAUCUCUUCACCCCAAGUCCAAGUGUUUCUCACACUUGUACACUCACAAAUUGAUGAGAAAUGAUAAAUACAAUAAUAAAUCUCUCUUUAAGAGUGGAUAUACAAAUUGAAGAACAAAGAUGAUUUAAUGAAUGAUGAUUCACGAAGUUGAAGCUCAAUAUAUGUUGUGUGCACUUGUUCUUGCUUGCUUGGAUUCCCAAAAAUGAAUUGGUUUUGAGUUUAUAUAGUUUGAACUCAAAAACUAGCCGUUACUCACAUUCCAGGCGUAUCCGGUUUGCCGUUUUAUGGAAUCCGGUAAGCCGGAUUUAUGUUACCGUUAAGGCAAAAUUUUGAAUUUUGCCUAACCGGUUUGCCGGUUACGAAAUCCGGUAUGUCGUUUUCGUUCUGGAGGCUUACUGCCCCGAAUUCGGAUUUUUGGUUUUUAGAAUCCGGUAAGCCGUUUUCGUUCUGGUGCUUACUGCCCCGUAUCCGGCUUGCCGUUUAUCAGUAUCCGGUAAGCCGCUUGCUACAGUAACUACUACAGUAAAAUAUUUUCCGAAAUUUACAGUUUGACCCCAAAUCUUUAUAAAACUAUAGUAUGGCCCAAAACGUUAUGAAACUUUGCAAAUAAGUCCAAUUUCAGAAUUUCUAAAUAAUGCUUUGUUAAUCCCAAAACUUUCUGAAAUUAUGAUAUUGCCAAAGAUGCUAUGACACUUUUCAAAUAAGUCCUUUUACCAAAAUUUCAAGCAAUACUUGUUUAUAUCAAAGUUUUCAAAAUUCUUUCAAUUAAACCAUAAACUUUGAAAAACAACCAAUUUCAUAAAAUCAUUUUUCCAUUAAGUAUGAAACAUUUAUAAUGUGAAAAUAAUUAUUUAUUUAAAAAGAAUAAAAACAAUCAAUUUCAUAAAAUCAUUUUUCCAUUAAAUAUAAAACAUUUAUAAUGUGAAAAUAAUGAUUUAUUUAAAAAGAAUAAAAACAAUUUGAGCUUAAAAGAUUAAUCAUUCUUAAUCUUGUUUGUUAUCAUCAAAAUCAAUAUUAUGGAAACAUAUAUGUUAACAGUUAUGUGUUAUUUUUUUAUUGAAUAAUGAAUUGCACAACUAAUAAAAUUUAUAUUUCCAUCAUCUAAUAAAUGACUACCAUAUCAGUUGGGACUCAAUUAUUAGGAUCCUUAACAUUGCUCUUAGUAUUAAAUUGGACAUCUUAGAUAAAUCGGAUUAAAAAUCAAAUUAGUUUUUAGGCUUUUAUUCAACAUCUCUUUUUUUUUUUUGGUCUAUUGGAAGUGAACGAAAUAAAAAUACAACAGGGUCAACGACUGGGCAAUUGGUAGUCAAGUAGAAGCAAAUAAAGGCUAAAUGGGAAAGAGAAAUGAUAUUUGUGCAAAACAAGGAGAAAAUCAGUGUAACAGAAGAGAAUCAAAGUGCUUUUGAGAUCAAAAAUUGAAACAAGAAAAGGGUCGCUUGAUCCAAUGAAAAUGCAAAGAGCUGAUGGCAAAAGGGAACAAAGUUAAAUAAGAAAACAGCUAGCGCUAGCAGCGACCACAAUAAACAGAAAAUUUGAGAUGGAUUUACAAUAUUUCUGCCUUUCUUUAUGCUUUAAAAAAUAUUGCUCUAUCAAAAAAAAUAUUGAACAUUUUUAUUAUUGGAGUCACAAAAGACCUACACAAUAUAGCAAGUGACUAGGAAUGAACAAGAAUAUAUAACUCUCUCUCUAAUUCUCACUCUGGCUUUUAAUUGUCACUCAAAACCCAGAAUUCAUCCUUAAAGUGUAGGCAAAUCAGAGAUGACACCCUUUGGUUGUCAUACGUGCCUUUUAAUUUUCGGAUGACAUGGUGUACACUUCUUCUGUAAACCCAACAAGACAUGUCGUACUCUUUUGUUUUGAGAUUCUAUUUCAAACUUUUCAUGCUAUGAAUGAAAGAUAAACUCCAAUCAUCAAAAUAUUUAGUGUUUGUUUGGUAAUGUAAUGUCAUAGUUGUGAAUUGAAAUUAUUUCUGUAAAAUAAAAGGAUUUGGGUCAUUGUUUGUUAUUUUCUGACAACAUUUAUUAAAUAUUAAAAAAUAAAUUUAUAUUUAUUAGGUAUUAAAAAUAAAUAAACAAACAAAAAUAAAAGGAAAAGUUUAUACAUUACGUAAAAUAAUGACAAUAUCAAUAUUUCGCACUCUAUAAUUGAGUGAUGUGUUGUCCAACUGGCAUACAUUGGUCCCAAACAGAGACUUAAAUAUUAAAGUCCAAAGUUAUUGUGAUGAUGACUUAUAAUCGCCAAACUUGACAUACGGGUAAUCAUGCAUUAUAAGGUGCUGAUUUCUUCCGAUCAUAACCUUAUUUUUCAUUUACAAAUAAAUAAAUGAUGUGACUUCACAGUUGUCGGGGUCCUUUGUGUCAUUUGGGCAUUUCACUAAAUGAUUGAUUGCAGCAGGAAGAUUCCUGGAAGUUGCCAUUUGCCAAUGCUACUAACAUUUUCAAACUUGGAAAACCCUUCAAUCAAUCUUUUAGUGGUACGCUCUGGUAGCUUGGUUUGAUUAUGACAUAUGAUUAUUUGAUAAUAAAGGUAGAGGAUGUAUUAAUAUAAAAUUUGUUUAUUGGUGUUGAAGUAAAUUAUCUCAUUAAUAAUGGUAUGAAAAUUUAAUUACUAAGAAACAAAUAGUAGUAGUUAAUUGGUGUCAUAUUAUUGGGAUUCUGGGAUAUAAUUUUAUAUCAUAACUUUGUAAGUGUAUACUUACUCAUCAAACUAAUAAAAUUAUUUAAAAAUUUCAGUUGGAAAAAAUAAAUUAUAUUAUUUUCAUUUCAAAUAAUCUAUAAGUUAACUCAAAACAUAAUCAAGCUGAGAAUUAAAAUAAUGCUACUGUAUGAGAGGAUUUUUAUUUUUUCCCAAAGUUUCACUAGGAAAUUAUUGGUAAGAUAUGACAUUUAAAAAAUAAUUUUCACAAAAAUACAAAGAAUAUUUAUAAAGUACUUUUAUAGUGAGGAGACCCUCACUUUGUUAAAGUGAAAAUAUCAAUAGUAUACAAAAGACAUAUAUUUUAACACAUUAAAAAUUGUAUUUUUUUUAUCUAUUGGUGUAUUGAAAUAUGUGUUAUUUAGUUUGUUAGUGAUAUCAUUACUUUGUUAAAAUGAGAAUGUCGUUACUAGAGAAUCAUUAUAUAUACAUAUAUAAAGUGCUUCUGUCCAAGACCUAGACUUUAUUAAAAUUUGAGAAAGCAAAUAUAUUUUAUAUGGUAUAAUAGUGUAAUAACAUCACACUAUUAUAUCAUAUAGAGUAAUAAUUUUUUGAACUUUAAUAAAAUUCAAGAUUAUAGAAUGAAUGAUUUUUAUAUAUUAUAAAUUUUUUUAUCAUAAAUGGAGGACAAAAUUAACAUAUUUUCAAAUUAUAAUAAGUAUUUAUCAAAUAAUUUAACAUUGCAAUUUCUCCUAACUAGUAUAGUAAAUAAUACGACCUAGGAGAUACAUUCAAAGCAUUUCAUAAGUUAGUUGUUAAUAAUAAAUUAUAUAUGCAGCUCCAAUCAUCAUUGUACGGUGAGUAAUUUCCAGUUAUAAAUAGAUAUUACUCCCUUCCCAGCAAUUUUUGAUGACUUAAUUUAGUGGGAUCAAAAUCAACAUUGAAUUUUUGACCAGCUGCCAACAACUUGUGAGCAGUUCACAGUGGGUACUGCACAUGAUGCCUGUUUCUCCUUUUGCAUCUAUUUUUGUUGUUAACAUUCAUUUCAAUAGCAGCUCGUUAAUCCCAUUUGUUGAUUUGGGACUAGAUAAGAAUUUAUCUUGGAACUCCAAUUCUCCAAUUAUUUUAGUUGACAAUAUAUUUAACAUUAUUAAUUGCAUAUUAUUUAAUUAUCAGUAUAUAAUAUUCUUUAAUUUUCUAAUUUUAUAGGAUUAGACACAAAAUUGAUUAUGCCUUUUGAAAUUGAAGGGUUAUGUCAAUUGAAUAGAAAACUUGGAGGUAAACUUGUGGAUGUUUUUGUUGAUUAUCAAUUUAUGCAUGAAUUUUUGUACGUUUACUUUGGUUUAUAAUUAUUACUUUUAAACAUUUUUAUUGGUUUGAUUUAGGGUCAAUUUGGUAAUCCUGUAGCUUUUAAAAUAAUUGCAAUUAGCUAUGCUGUAGAAAUUGAUCAAUCGUCAAGAGAAUCAGCUGAACAUUUAGUAAAAUUUAUUUUUAAAAAUACUUUUAGUUUUAAAAGCGUUGUAUGAAUAAAACUGUUACACUAAAAAUUAAAUGUAUCUUAAACCCAAACUUCUUCUUCUUUUUUUUUUACUAACAAAAUUAAAACAAUAGUGAACACAUUCUUUAAUAAACAAUAAGUAAUAAAUAAAAUCGUGUUAAAUUUCUUAAAAAAUUUCUUUCACGGUUUGCUAAAAAAUUUUAUUAGUAUUUUGAAUAAAUAAAAAUAGUUGAUUUAAUUUUUUUAAAUAAACUUAUUAGGUUCAUGUAAAGAUGUUUUUGUUAUUUUAAAAAGUGUAGAAAGUACUCCUAAAAAAAAGCGUAGAAAGUAAAACUUAAUUUUUUAAAUUUAUUUGCUGAGUGCAUAAAUAAUUGAGUGUUCAUAAUGAUUUUUAAAGUAUAGAUAGUCGGACCCUAAUUUUUUAAUAUAUGGAAAUUUUGCUAAUAUGUUAAUGAGAAUUAAAAAGAUAAUUAAGGGAGGCAAUCGAGACAUUCAGGAUAGUUAGGAUGGGACAUGAUUGUGAGCGGUUUGAUAUUGGUCCUAAUUUUGAUCACAAAUAUAUAAACAUGACGAGUUUAUCUCUACUGACAUUCCAUUUGAUAAUUAAGAUGAGAACGGAAUUGUCAAAUCUCAAAUCAUCCCGAACCAUUGCCAUCAAAGGUACUCUCACUAAUAAUAUCUAAAGAAAAAUCUACAUCUAUUUCAUACAUUUUUUUUUAAACGGAAAGAGCCCUCAUGGGGCUUGAAAUGUUAUCCUAAAUAGUAUUCAAAAUAUCAAGCCAUGAUUGGGUUUGAGACAAACAAAUAUUACAUAGUUAGGAUACAUAGUUAUAGUGUCCCAAUUUAUGUAGUAUCUAUCAUUUAGUGCACAUAUAAAAUAUUAAUCAGCUUAAUUAAUUUAUAAAAUUUAAAUCUAAUUAAUAAGUGAUACAUAAAUGCCAAGUGCAAUAUUGUAUAUGCAAAUCAUGUUUGUGGAUCAUUACAAAACCGGCUCUUGAAAACAAGCAAGAAAGCUUAAUUAAGAACUUAAAACAAAAAGAAUUAGAUUGAAAACAGUCAAGCUUUAUUUUUUCAAGGAUGGAGCUUAUAAAUCUUCAAGUACCAACAUAUGCUUGGCCCAAUUGUUGUUAUUAAAAUUUCAAUAUACAUUUAUAAGUAUGAUAUAGCAAAAAUUUGAUGGUACAUAUCUCGGAAUAUACUAGUUCAUGGAUGCAUUUGAUUAUUGUUUCCAUAAAUUUGAACUGGGAAGGAUGACAUGAUAAAAUUUGAUUUUAUGGUAUGGUUGAUUUCAGAUCUCAUGCCCUCCUUUCUUAAGAUAAUCAAAUUUUCUCUGACAUCUUUUGCAACUGUGGAAAUAUCAAUUAUGAUCAAUCAAAAUGAUUUCAAAACCUUUCAACAAGACAUAUUUAUAAUACAAUAUUGUGAAAAUUACAACAAAAAUUUAAUUUAUUAAAUAAUAUAUUAUUAUCCAACGAGCACACAAAAAUGAAUUCGUACAAAUCUAAAAUACUUAGCAAUUUUCAAAUAGAAUUUACUAUGUACUACAAGAAAAUAUGGUAUAUGUGACCCCGAAUGUGAAUGCAAAUUUGCAAAAGCAGCCAUUACGCAUGCCACUAACUUCUAACUUUGUAACCUCGAGUUGUUUUGUUACCCUUUAUGUGACGGCCACACUGCUGUCACAUAUGUUACUAACCACGUGACGGUAAAGAGCCGUUCGGUUUAGCACUAUUUUAGAAAUUUAAAAUUAUUUCCAGUUAGAAAACUAUUCGCUGGACUAGCCACCAUCGUAAACCUAACUGGUUGCCGGCGAACGGCGUAAAACACCGGGCAUCUUCUUCUUCAUCGUAUUCUCCCUUCAUCUUUUGAGGUAAGCUUGUGAUUAUGAGUUUCUUCUCUUACUUAGCUUGUAAUUAUAGAUUUUGAUUUUUUUUUAAAUUCGUAUUGUAGCCAUUAUUGUCAAUUUUUGUCCCGCCAGCAAUAUUUUUUUAUUCCUACAAGUUGAAGCCCCUGUGUUCUUGUUCCAUUGGUGAGUUUGCUCACUCAAAUUAAUUUUGUUCUGCGAAAUUUACAAAGUUCAAAUGGAUUCAUUUGAAUUACUAUUGAAUUUAGCUUUAAUUCCAACAUCCAUUCUAAUGUUUUGCUAUUAGAUUUAGUUUAAUUUUAUGUUUAAAGCAUCUACAAUGAAUAGCGGAGCUUGGGUUUUAGUUUUAUUUUCUGGAUAACUUGUUUUAGUUUAUCUUGUAUGCUCACCAAGUGCUUGUUAUAUUGUCUGAUAAGUUAUUUACAUUGCUGAUUCUAUAUUAAUAAUGUUACGUUCUAUUUUCAGAAAUUAUAAUACAAAAGUUUUUACAAUGGCGUGCAUCUACAAACUGAAUUGACUUGUAGAAUAAGAGCUUGGAGUAAAUGAAAGUUGAUAUUGUGUAAGAGCAUGUAGAUGUAAAGCAUCAUUACCAUAUCUACAAAGUGCUUUCAUUCUGUUCAGAUGCUCUUCUUGAAAUUUGAAAGGUGCCUCGUUCAAGUCCUAGCGAUAACUACUAGCUUUGAUUAAUUAAGUUCCAAUACAAGCUGAAACAGAUUUAUUUAAUUAAUUAAUUGUGUACAUACUAAUUAUAUUGAAAGUAUAUGAAACUUUUUUUUUUUUUAACAUGAAUGACUUGUAAAUGACUUAAAAACCUAAAGGAUGUGUGAAAUAAUGCUCACUUCACUUGAAUGAGCCUAUUAAUACUUUUAUGUUUAUGAUUUUCAAUAUUGGCUUAAGCAUUUCAGUUAAGUGGUUUACCUAACAGAGAAAAAAAUUUAAUAGAAAACUUCAGAGUUCUAACGGAAAUAUAGUUCACCAUGCAGAUAUAGUUAUUUUACGGUAUACAAAUCAAGUUGUCCUAAUCUCAAUGUCCUAUCACCGAUUUUAUUUGAUAUAGUCAUUAAUUUUUACCAUGGUUUUUUGUGUUUAUGAGUAUGAAAUAGUGGGAUUUGGUGUACCUUAGCAUCUUUUGGAAAUUCUCUUUAAGUGUGGCCAACAGAAAUAUACAUAUAAUCAAGUUUCUUAAUUGUGUAUAUUAGUUUUGGGUACGAAUGUUCCUAUUCUAGUUCUAGACAAAGCUUCUUCGUUUUGGUCUUCAGAUUUCCAGUAGGUUAAGUUAAUCAACUAUCAUAACUGGCUAGCUACUUAUUGUCUGCCUUGGCGCCAUUACCCAGGCCAUUAUAUUGCAUAGCAUAAGGAAUAGUGAUUAGGUGAUUAUUAGUGAUUUGUUGAGCUUAUUAUUGACCAAACAAACAUAUUCGCCUUUGCCCACAACUUAGUUUGAUUAGUUUUAGACCACAAAGAGCCUUGAUCUAUUCAUUGGCUUUAUUAUUUUUAUUUGGUUUUUCUUUGGUUUUUCUUUCAACAAUAUUGGUGAUUUCUUAUAAAAAUAUUCAUUGGUUUUUAAACACCUAGUCAUUGGCUAUAUGAAGCAAAUUAAAACUGAGGCUUUGGAUCAAUUUCUUCUAACAAGAUACAAAUGAGCAUAACCUUUCUCCUCUAAGUAAUUUUUUUUAUAUCCUUGAUUUGUAAGGAUCUGGAGGCCUGAAAUCCUCUAGAUUUUUUUUAACACUGUCAAUGUCCUUUUUGUUCUGAAAAGGAAAUAAAAGGUUUUAUCUUUCAUACCCUAAUAGUAAGCUGGCCUUGUCUUAACAUGGCUUCUUGAGGAUUUGCAAGAUUCAUAGUUCCCCCAACACACCUCCCCAAAAAAAAAGAAGAAAAAGAAAAAAAAAAGAAAAAAGGAAGAUUUUGCAAGAUUCACCACCAGGUUUUUUUUUUUAAAUUUAUUAAUUGUGUGUACGUACUAGUUAUAUGUUGAAAGAAUAGGCAGAAGUAUUUCAACAUGAAUGACAUAAAACUUACUGCUCAGUAAACAUAAUCUGCAUCAGUGGGAAAAUGUAUUUAUCGUUUGUAUUUUUUAUGGUUUUGCUUAAGAAAUGAUAUGUGAAAUAAUGCUACAUUGUAUCAGGAAUAAAUUGAAGAGAUUUAUGAUAGUUAUGUGUUAUUCAAAUUUCAGAUUCAAUUUUAAACUUUUGAUACGUGCAUUGAAAGCUUAGACUUGUUUAAGAAAUUAUUAAUAGACACAUGUUGUAUUAGUGUCAUCUUUGGAUGAUAGUGAGGAUCAUAUGUCUAUUAAUAAUUCUUGAAUUGUCCAGGCUUGGACAGUUUGGGAAUGCAUAGUUCUCUCUGGUAGCUAGUAGCUGAAGUUUUCUUCCCAUGUAAAAAUGGCUUUUUCGGUAGCUGCUCCUCGUGUUCUCUGGGUACGUACUAGGUGAAUGGGUGUCAUGUGUUGUUUUGGCAUAACGCAUAAACACUUAUAUAGCUUUGUCGUGAAAUUUUUAUAAACGUAGAAGAAAACUUUAGGUACUUGAGAUUGAAAAAACAUAUGCUUUCUUGAGUGGGAUAUGUAGGAUUUAUCACUUACCUUUGGUAAAUAUGAAGGGAAUGUUGACUCCUUGAAAUAUGCCCAAACCCAUGGAGUAUCUAAAUAAGUCUGAAAACCAAACACUGUUACCUACUAGACGACAAAGCAGAAAAAUUUUCUUGACUUGCUCACCUUUUAAAUAAUUGAAACUCAGCUCAAUACUUGAAUAAGUCUCUGCAGACACACCUUCAAAGUUUACCAUUGAAGGCGUUCGGAGCUCUCGCAAGGCAUUCUUCCAUUCAUGGAGACUCUUGUUUCUCAGUGCCCUCAAUGCAAUGGGCAAACCUCCACAUGCCUUAGCUACAUUAAUUGCUGUAGACUUGAACUUACAAUUUUCAACAUCAUCACCAUUCAUUAUCUUAAACAAUCUCCAGGCUUCUUGUUCAGUUAGAUUGCCAAUCAAAAAGUUAUCUUUGGAGCCCAUACUUGAAAGCACAUUAUUAUCUCUUGCUGUCCGCAACAGUCUACAUCCUUUAUGAUUAUUUCCAAAAGGAAUUCCAACCGUCCCCAAUUCAAGAUGUUUCCAGAUAUUAUCUGGAAUCACAAGAAUCUUAUUCUCACUCGUCAAUCGUUCAUGCAGCUUGCUAGCUCUUCUAUAUUCAGCUUCAUCGGACAACUCCAGACCUAACUUCUCUGCAAUUUCCCCUUGAAUCUUUUUUAUCUCUAGAGUUUAUGAAACCUCUGGUAAAACCACCCAUAAAACAGCUUUUUUCCCUGGCUUGCCUAGCAAACUCCUUCAUCAGUGUGGUCUUUCCAAUGCCGCCUAUGCCGUACACCCCAAUAAAGCUGACAUUCGCCUCCGUCAAUGCAUUUUUUAUAGACUGCAAAGUAGAAAGUCUUGAUUCGAAGGCCUCGUAACCACUGCUAGACUUAAGCCAUAUCUCCUCCGGAAUGGUACGGUGGGAAACAGUAUCAAACUUCUUAACUUCUUCUCCAAGUUCAAUAAUGGCCUUCACCUCCGUCUCUGCUUUCUUGCUAAGCUGAUAGCGACUCUUCCAAUUAGGACUCAAGCCCUUGACACAGCGCUUAUUCGUUGACUCCUCAUCUUCAAUGAAUUUGGCUGCCCGGUCAAUGAUGCCGUUCGCACUUCGCACUAACCAGCCACUUUUCAACCUUCUCUUCAAUCUCUUCCCCUUUUUCUUUCGCCUCUGAAACCCUGCGCUGAAUGCUCGUACGUUCAACCUCCAACUUCUCCAUUUCCGCCUUGAUAUUCUCAAAGUUGGCAUUGUUGUUCCGCUUUCGCAAAUAAACAAGUUGGCGUGCAGUUGGAGGAGCCAAGCAUUUUACAAGUUCCAAGACGAUAGUCACAAUGAUUUCCAGCAUCUCGAAGUCUGACAAAAACGUAGAAGCGAAGAAAGCCAAAGGAAAGCAAAAACAAAGAGACAGCGAUGGGACAAGCAAUUGUGUUUUUCAGAUGAGAUGAAGGAAACAAGAAAAGAGUUUCUAUCACGACGUAAAGAGCUAAAAGAGCUGAUGGGUACAGAAUAAGAAAUGAGACUGAGGAGUGCGCAAAGCUAAAUAAUAACAGAACAAGAACAAUGACGAAUAGAAGAAACAGUAGCAAAGAGCCGUUUAGAUGAUUAGAAUGAAACUAAGCGACUGGAAAGAGUGGAUGGUAGACUAAAGAGAAAGUGAUUGAUUAUUUUAGGAGACCAAUUAACGUAAUGACAGAUCCGGUUUCGAUGUUUGUAAUUUGAGUAUGAGGUAAAUCGAUUCUUUGUCGAGCCAGUCAAAUACAAAGGCAAAUUAGUAAAACACGAGCCAGCAACUUUUACUCACACAAAAGCCAAUAAUAUAUUGAGAUCACGCAACAUUGCAAUAAAGUUAUUAUCAAGUUGUAGCCUUCUUAUUCAAUCAAUUAUAGCAUUAUCUCUAGCUCUGUAUUUUUCAAAAAAAAAUUAUUCAAAAGAUGUCUGUCAUUAAUUUUUCAAUGAUUAAAAUUAUAAUUUUUGUUUAAUAUAUAUAACGUAAAAUUUUAAAAGAAUCAGACAUGCAUUAGGGUAAAAAUAAAAAAUAUGGAGGUAGCUUUUAACUAGGUAAUUGGCUCAACUAUGGAUCAGUGUGACAUUUUAGUAUUAAGCAAACGGAACUUUUUUUUAAUUAAAUUAAUCUCAAAGUGAUAGGCUUCUCAUGAAUCAUGUAAUGUUGUCGUUUUUAAAGACUUGACAUUUUGGGGUAAUCAGAAUUAACAAUGCACAUCACUUGUUUGUCACAAUGUCCAAAUAAAUAAUUUUAAAAAAAAGUUAUUUUCAUUCUUUCUUUUCAGGUAUCCUAAUUCCUUUUGCAGUUUGAUUCCUCUUUUCCUGAAUUUUGUUCCUUCCAUUAAACUAAUAAUUUAUUUAAGAACAAUUAAGCAUCAGCCCCCAAUUGUUCAGUAUUUCACACAGCGGCACCCACAUCUUUUGACCAUGUGCACCUCCCCCCUAUUUUUAUUAAAAAAUCAACUAAUCUAACUAUUUAGACUGUUAUAAAUUUAAAAGACUAUACUACCCCUAUUUUGAAAUGAAUUGGGUAUAUAAGUACUAAAAUACCCUUACAACUAAUAAAAUUUAAAUCAAAAAGUAAAAAUUUAUUAUAAUAUUUUUAAAAUUAUAUGGAAACAAUUUUUUUCCGGAUUAGGAACCCAAGAUUAUAACCUAGUAAAUUACAAAAUCAAAGGCAAAGCAUGAUUCCAAUGUGAAAGAAAAAAAUUAAACACACAUUCAUCAGUACAUUACAAAAUAAGUCCAAUAAUCCCACCAAAAUAAAUAAAACCCAAUAGAAAGAAACCCUAAACUAAUGAUACCAAAAUCCCUGAGAGCAAAUUUCAUUGUAAAAUUCUAUUACAAAAUAAAUUCAUACUAAGAAAAUUCGAUAAAAAGAAACCCAAUAAUCAAAAAUCUUAAAACUAAAGAUAUCAAACCCAAAAUUAAAUUAUAGAGGCGGCGAAGGAAAAAGUUUUUUUUUUUUUAAAUUAUAUAUUAUUUUAAUCUUGUGUUAAUUACCAUUCUACCCUUCUUUCCGUUAACAUUAGAUUUGAAAGAAAUGAGGGUGGUGAACAUGGUCGGAAGAUUGGGGGCACAAUGCAAAAUGUCGAAACAAUUGGGGGUAACGCUAAAUUACACAUUAUUUAAAUUAAAUUAUCUUAAUUGUAUUUGACUGUGACUGUGACCGGAACCGCUACAAUCACUUAGUAUUUUUAUUAAUUAAUUAACAAUUAGUUUCAUCAUUAGACGGUACUAUGAUAGUUUUGUCACUAUGUUUGUUACCAUCUCUCAAAAAAAAAAAAUUACUUUUACAUGUCGAAUUGUGUAACAACGAUUUAAUGAAAAAUAAAAAAACAGCACGACAUCUCGAGGCUUAACAUGGUAAUCAUGAAUAUCCCUUAUUUUCAAAUAUAUAUAUAGACCUCUUUUUGUAUUUAAAAAUAGUUACAUAGAUCCUGAAUUUGUGUGUCCGUGGAUAAAUUUUCAUGAUCAUUUUUUAAAAUAAGGGAUUUUUGUGACUAUUUUGUCACGUCCUAGGAUGCUGCCGUUCUUGUCACCAAAAAUUAUUCUCAUAAGAGUAAUGAUUAAUUGGACGUCAGCAAUGAGGGCAUGUAAUGAAAAAUUUUGUUUUGCAUGGAAUCCAAUAAUUUUAAUUACCCUGGUGGUGACAGACCCAGCUGCAAAAUCAACUGAUUUUACAAUUCUAUUGAAAAUUCUUUAAAUGAUCACUUAUCUAGUUCUACUAUAUCCUUAAGCAUAUUGAUUUUGUUACUUAUUUCCUAGUACUUAUAUUUAGGCAUUGAAAUUGGAUUGCAUAGACUAAGACGAUUACUUGAGCUGAAAAUUUUUCAAGUAUGGCGGAGGGGAAAGUGAGAGAGCCGCUGCUAAAGAAGAAAUAUUAUGAGAACUGCUCAGGCUGUAAGGUUGAUAAGCUUAAAGAGUCGGAACGAGGCUUACCAAUUCGCAAGCUUUUUAUAAUUUGGAUUGUUGUGCUUGCAACUGGUAAAUUUUUCAACUUCAACUCGAUAUAAUGAUUUUUGAGAGAACCAUUUACAAUGAUUUUGGCCUAUUGUGCUCUUCUAGUUUUGUCCUUAAUUCUUUGGUGAUUUUUUUUUUUUUUCAGUUCUGCCGGUCGCAUCUCUCUUUCCCUUCCUUUAUUUUAUGGUGAGUGGACUGUUGUUGCCUUCAGCAGAGUAGUUACUAGUGAGAAAAUUUAUAUUUUUCUAUCAUGCUUGCUGAUUUUCUUAGAAAUAUAAGAAAAGACAAGUUUUAUCUGUCAAACAAUUCAUUGCUUUUUCACAGCAGUAUGUUAUGAUUUCUUUUCAGAUUAGGGAUUUUCACAUUGCAAAAAGGGAGUAAGAUAUUGGAUUCUAUGCUGGUUACGUGGGUGAGUUAUUUUAUGUAUUUUUAUUGUGUUUAAUAAAUGACACAUGGUAUGGAGUCCUUUUUUGGUACAAAUGUGCAGACUCGCGCCUUUACAACUCUGUAAAAACAUUCUAUUGAGGGCUUUACAACACUGUAAAGGCACUGUACAAGGGUUUUACACUGCAGACUUGCGCCUUUAUACUGUAAAGGGCCAAGUCUAUGCUUUAAAAAGUACAGAUGUUCGCACCUCGAAAUAAUUAACAUAUAUGUAUGUAACAUUUCAAAUUCCUCAAGAAGCCAUCCUGACAAACCUCUUAAUACCUUUGAUGAAAUUGAAGGGUCUUCAUACAUGCUUGGCAGAGCUUUAACAUCUGUUUUGUGGGGAUGGUGGCUGACCGCUGCAGAAAGCCUGUAAUAAUAAUAGGAUGCAUCACAGUGUUAGUGACCUCUAUUUUCAAAUGAUUAAGCUUGAAAUUGAUGAUACUUUGGCAAUUUCUGGGUUUCUUAUUUGUCUUAAAAUGCUCACAGGGUUAUUUUUAGCACUCUCUUUGGGCUUAGUGUGAAUUUCUGGAUGGCCAUAGCUACAAGGUUUCUCCUCGGGGCUUUGAAUGGUUUACUUGGACCAAUAAAGGUAUUGAUUGGGGGUAUUUGUUGAUAAUUCCAAUUUAGUUCCUGCAAAUUUUUGUGCUCAAACUUCUCUUACACCACGAGGCAUAUGCAUGUGAAAUAUUGGGCGAUCAGCACCAAACUUAUUACGAAACUAAAAAUGUUACUUGUUUUCUGUACUUGCUUUCGCAUGCAUCACCCCCACAAAACUGCUUGACGAUUGUCCUCAUUUUGAACUUACUAUAGGUUUCAUUCUCCUUGUUUUUCAACUUACUCUGUACCCUUACGUCGAGAGGAUUAUUGGGCCAAUAAUCAUAACACGAAUUGCAGGGGGUAAUAUUUUGAACACCUCAUGCGGCAUUUGGACCAUUUGAUAGUUUGUUUCAAACAUAUCUGUUUAUAAAAUACUUUUCUUUAUGGUUUUGGUCCAAUAACUUUCUAUGUAUGUACAGGUUUUAUCGAUACCGCUUUUGACAAGUUACACUUACGUAGCAAUGUUAUCUGGGUUCAGCCUUGCCUUUUUGAUAAACUGUGCUUCUGUGAUGAAGAAUGUUUUAUCUGUAAGUGGAUAUCCUAAUCAUUGAUCCAUAUACUAAGGUUAUAUUAUCCAUCAGCAAGUAUGUAUAAAAUUAUUUUGUCUUUUUUAUUAGAAUUGCUGUAAUUCAUUUUUACUUUUCCUGAAUUGUAACAUCAGGUGUCUAUAAUAACUGGAUUGUUCCCUCUGCAAAACAGAUCAGUGGUAAAUAUAUUUUCUUUUGUUUGUUUAGUACAUUUCCAUGCUUUCAGCUUUUUCAAAUUUUGUAUGUGCCAAAGUUUAAAUUAAUUGGUUGGUUUAUGGUAUAAUAAGAGGUAUGAUAAUUUACUAAUGAAAUUUCUCACUAGUUUGUGAAUUACUUGGUGCUAAUUGCUUAAACUAAAGUGCAGGUAACCAGAUGAUUUUUUUCAUUCUGAAUUCGGUGGAGGCACUUGGAGUAAUAUUGACAUUCAAACCGUUUCUAACUCAACGUGCCCCAUGAGUGGAGAAAAGAUGCAUCUGUUGAAAUAUUCAAAUAUAUAUCAAGCAAAUUAAAGCUUUCAAAAUCUUUCAACAAUUUGAUUGUUUGAUGUGGUUGCCACUUGCCAUAUUUUGUGUUACUUUUCUAAAGGCUUAAAUAUGAAAAUGGUUGUUGGUGCUCACGCCAAUUGAUUGCUGGUAACAUUAAUUGUGCAGUACUUGUCAGAACUACCACAAUUUAUCUUCACAAUGAUGCUACCUAGAAAGAAAAUUUCAUGUUAAGUAAAAUAUUGAAGCCAUAAAGAGUCUUAUUCCAGAGCCUUAUUAAGUACUAAGUUUUCUGCCAUGCUUUCAAAGUUUACAAAUUCGAAGCUUGGGGAUUCUGUAACAAUGGAGGAUAAAAAUUAUAUAAGAAUAUUAUUUUGUACAAUUUUCAUACAACCAAACAGAAGCGAGCAUAAUAUUUUGAUCAUAACUCAGAUCAAAAGACCUUCAAUGAUGUAUAAUAUGCACAUAAAGCUAGCUCAGAACCAGGCAUGAAAACUUAAGAUGAAAGGGAAACAUAGAUGUUGAGAUUGAAAAUAUAGAGAAAUUUUUUUAAAAAGUCUGAAAUUUUAUUAAUAGAAGUUUGAAUAACAAAAUUAGGGUAUUGGACCCUUUGUAUACAAAUUCUAAAUAUUAUGUAUUUAUCAAAAUAGACAAACUUAAAAUAUUAUUACAUAAUAACGUUCUCCUAACUGAAAUAAGAAAAAUAAAAUAAAUCAUACUUAAAAUCUUAUAUUUAGAGAAAAAAUAUAAAAAUAUUGAAAAUAAUAAGAAAAAUAAGAAAAUAUCUUAAACUUUGUAAAAUAACUACGAAAUAAACAGAAUUUCUUGCCGAAUAGAUACCCGCUCAAGUUAUGAUCUAGGAGUGAUAUCCUACUCAUCCUAUGCAACCAUCAGCUGCAUCAACUUCAUUCCAAAAUUAACAAAUAAACCAACUGACGCAUUGCAAAUAAUAAGAUGAAAUGAUAAAAUAAACCUAGAGAUCAAACAACACAAGGUAAUAUAUUAAAAAGCCUAUGGGAUCAAAACAUAUCAUAUACUAUGUCGAGAGAGAUGACGACUCCUCCAACAGCAGAAAAUAAAUUCUUUCAUUCAUUAAUUUAAAGUAAAUUUUGUAAAUUUAGGUACUUGCACAUUGAGAUUUGCAAUUUAAUUUGACAGGACUUUUCAUUGAAUAAUGAAAUUAAAAACUAACGAUUAAUGAAUUUUUUAUAAUUCUCUAAACUCUUGUGGAAAUGUCAGCUGUAAAUAGGACAAUUUCAAGAAUCUUUAUCUGAAAGCGUAAUUGGCAGAGCAGAAACUUGUGAGACUAUCUAAAUCACACAGACUCGAUGUCUUCAAUUUGCUGAAAACAAUCUCUUGUUUUGAAUUUAAAUUUGGUGCUCCAUCUUCUUCUCCGUCACCUAUUACCACCUCUGUCAUUGCCCUGCAUCCAGCUACCUUCAUUGAUACGAGCCGCACUAGACUUUCUGCUGUAGUGGACGGAUGUUACAAUUCCUUGCAAUGGAAAACCAACAGUUCUGUUAGAUUCCCAAAAGAUAUAGAUGAUCAUGGGAAUAGACUUAAAUGAUUGUAAAAUAGUCUUAGAAUGUCAAGAUAUUUAAAAUGGAGUCCAGUUUGGAGUUGCUUCAAUGAUUAAGUCUGGACAGGAUUAACCAUUUUAUCAGUGCCUACUUCCCCACUUGUUUCUAGCAGUAUCCAGCUUGAUUUAAGAAUUUCUCUUUGUAUGAACUAUAACCCAAUAGGAGAUAUUACCCAAAAAAAAAAAAAAACUUAUUUCAAAUGACGCACAGGAGAAGAGUUACCUGAAUCUUCAUCAGUAUCCAGACAUUCUACAAUCACAGAGUAAAGAGUUCUAACAGGAAAAACGGAGAAAACAACGUUCUUCUAUACUUCUCAUAAAACUAGACCAAAUUAGUCCCUUUCUUGGUAUCCAACGUUUUCAAACAAUAUUUCCACAAUAUAGUUUUUCAUGGCGAAGAGUUUUGCUUUGAUGGUUUAAGGAUUUGUUCUAGGCAUAAUGCUCUGAUUAGAUUUUGUUUAUUUUUAAUUUUUUAUCCGAUGAAUGAUUUUCAGCUGUUCUUAAUUAUGUGUUCAUAGGGAAGAGCAUUUGGAAAGAUCAUCAAAAAAAAAAAAAAGUUUCCAAAGAAAGAUAGGUGUGAAGCAAACCAAACCAAAUGAACAAACUAAAAUAACAGAACAGCAAUGAUGUUUUCAAGGAAUUAUAAAAUAUGAAGGCUUUUAAUGAAAUUUUAUCAUACAAAGUAUGCAAGGAAUUAUAAAAUUUUAGAAAACAAGGGGAACUCUCAAAAAAAGAAAAAAAGAAAAAAAUACUCAAAUUAAACUAGACUAGAAGACAUUCAAUGAUGCAAAAUCUGUCCACAAAAGUCUGAACGAAUCAUUAAAAUUGCAUUCCAAAUUUAACAGUAAGCCAAUUGACCCAUUCUAAAUAAUUCAUAUGAAAUUGCGAAACAAGCCAUGAGAUCAAAUAAAUGAAAUAAAAAAUAAUUACCAGCUGAGGCUUUCUUCUAAAAUUCACAACUCCCAAGUCAUAAGAAGCCUAUGAAAUUAGUAUUGGGUAGAGAUCGACGACGGCACCGCCAACAGCUGAAAAUAAAAUUCUUAUUCAUCAAUUUAAACUUUUACUUUAUAACAAAUAUCUUGUCUAUAUUUUAUUAAAAAAAAAAAUUUGUAAAAUGUUUCCAUGGGAGAUAGAGAGUACUAUGUAUAUCCGUACCUUUUCAGCAUGUAAUUGUUGUAUGGUUGUGUUUAGAUCAUUAUUGGUCCAAAGCAAUCGAUCCUCUGUCUCUCCAUAGCAGACAUUUACUCUUGGAGGCGUGAUUGAUUCUCCUGUAGUAAAAAUCUUCAUCUUGGGACAACCAAUCACUUGCAAAUCUUGUAAAGAUGGGAAUUUGAAGGUGUAAUUGGCAGAGCAAAAACUUGUGAGGCUAUCUAAAUCAAACAGUUCCAACGUCUUCAAUUUGCGGAAAACAAUCUCUUCUUUUUCAACUCCAUCUUUGUCGUUUGUUACCACCUCUGUCAUUGCUGUGCAUCCAUAUAUUUCUAUUGCUACGAGUCGCACCAGAGUUUUUGCUGUGGAGGAUGUUACCAAGUGUAUCAAUUCCUUGCAACCGAAAGCUACAAGUUUUGUUAGGUUCCGAAAAGAUACCGAUGAUGAUGGCAAUAGAAUUAACAGACUUUGACAAUGAAUUACUUUUAGAAUUUCAAGAUACUGAAAAAUGGGGCCAAGUUUGGAGUCUUGUUUGCACAGCUGCUCCAGAUGAUAGUGCCAGUACAGCUGUAAUUCUUUUAUCAUUGCCAACUUCCCCGCAUGUUUCUCUAAGCAUCCUUCCAUCGAAAAUAGCUCUUCGUGGGAUGGAAAAAAAAGCAGUGAGAGCAUUUCGAGAUUGUGAAAUCUCUCCAGUACGUUCCAGAUUGGAAAACAAGCUGAGUCAUCUGCAGCAAUCUCUAGUUGUCUAAGACUGCCAAAAAGGUGUUGUGGGAAAUCGGCCUGCAAAAUCAUCUUCACAUCUUUUCCACUUAGUGAUAGUUCCUUCAAGUUGGGUACGAUCUGAUCAUCAUUAAUCAUAAUAACUAAUGAGGUCAAUUGAUGAUCUACGGUAACACGCAGUGAUUUUAUAGUAUUUGUUUUAUAUUAUAUGUUAAAAAAAAUUGAAUUAUUGAUAAAAUUUAUUUUGUAUGUUAAUUUUAGAGGUAAAGCAAGAAAUUAGGGAAAAAUAGUUGAUUUAUAUUGGCUCAAAAUUAUUUUAUUGCACAAUAAUAAAUUACUAAUUUAUUUUGUAAGUUCUUCUAAAUGGAAAGACUGAGGAUUCUUUUAUAAAUGCUAUACCUAAAAAAGUUCAUAUAAUUAUGAAUCUACCAUAUUGAUCCCUUAGUCUAGACUAGCAAAGAUGAUUGUAUAAUAAAAGUUUUUAAUUUAUUGAGUAUUAAAUGAUUUUUUAUAUGUUAAUUUUAGAGGUAAAAAAGAAAUUAGGGAAAAAAGGUUGAUUUAUACUGACUCGAAAUUAUUUUAUUGCACAAUAAUAAAUUACUAAUUUAUUUUGUAAGUUCUUCUAUAUGGAAAGACUCAAGAUUCUUUUACAAAUGCUAAACCUAAAAAAGUUUAUAUAAUUAUUAAUCUACCACAUUGAUCCCUUAGUCUAGACUAGCAAAGAUUAUUGUAUAAUAAAAGUUUUCAAUUUAUUGAGCAUUAAUUUAUCAAUACUUUGUCAUAUUUUUCAAAGUUAAAAAUAAGCUAUAGAUAAAAAAUCUAGAAAAUGGCUUCAUACCUUUUCCAAUGGCAAUAGGGGCUGUUGUGCAGGAAUACCAAGUUGAUCAUUCCCAUUAUUCUGCGAUAAAUCUGCAGCGAAUAUCUUUAAUUUGUCACAACCAUACACUACAAGAGUUUCUAGUGCGGGCCAUUCCCAAGUAUGCAUUCCAGGGUACAAAAAUCUAAGUUUUGGUAGAUCAUGGAGCAUCAAAGUGGUGAGUGUCAAACAAAUGGGCUAUAUGGUCAACACCAUCUUUAGUUGGAAAAGAAAACAAAAGAAGAAUGGAGAAUGAGGAGUCGCAAUCUAGAAGCUAUAAAUGUUUGAAGAAGAAAUAAGAGGCACACGGCUUUGACAAAAGAAAGAAGAAAAAAUAAUAAUAUAUAAUUGAUGAAUAGUGCCAAAGCUUUCUCUAUAAAUAGAAACGAAGAGAAUGAGCAAAUUCAAUUCCAUUUUGAGAGGCAUUCAAUUUUGUAGAGAGAGUCAAGAGUUGUGAGAAAUAAUUCUUGCAGAGCAGAGAGUCUAGUGAGUGAGAGAUUGGGUGUAUUGGGGUUUUGGGUUGUAAGCCAAAAUAUUACAAUACUUGUAAUCCUUAUUUCACUAGUAAAAUAUUUCCUUCUGUUUUCGCCCGUGGACGUAGGCUAAAAGCCGAACCACGUAAUUUCUGGUGUCCUCUAUUGUGCUUGUUCUUUAUUUUAUUUCCAAUUUUAUUUUAGCUGCGGUCCUGCUGCACCCACCAAUUUCCUAACAGUGGUAUCAGAGCUAUUGGUUGUAUUUUUGGAGUCGGGAAUUGUUCACGUAUUCACGUAUACGGCGUACGGGACUAUUCACGUAUACGGCGUACGGCACUAUUCACGUAUACGGCACUAUUCACGUAUACGGUACUAUUCACGUGAAACGGUGGAAGCCAUCCAAGAAUUUUGCGGUGCAAAGCAGGGAAUAGUGGUGUGAGUAAAGCAACUGUGUGGUUCUGUACAUGUCUAGGAAAGUUCUGUCACAAAGGCGAUAAGAGCUUAAGGAGUCUGGGUUUUAAGUGGGACCAUUGUGACCCCUCCAGUCUUUCCUGGGAACUUUCCUGGUGUGCAUUCUCACACAUACUCACAACUAUUCAAGGUGGUACACUAACUUGUGUGCAGUAUUUAUCAACAAAAUGGCGGCAAAGUAUGAAAUUGAGAAAUUUAACGGAAAUAAUUUUUCGUUGUGGAAAAUGAAGAUGAAAGCUGUAUUGAGGAAAAAUAAUUGUUUGGCAGCAAUUGGAGAAAGGCCCAUGGAGAUAACUGAUGACAAGUGGAACGAGGUAGACGGCAAUGCCAUUUCUGAUCUACACUUGGCACUUGCGGAUGGAGUAUUAUCCAGUGUGGCAGAGAAAAAUACGGCGAAGGAAAUAUGGGAUACUCUCACAAAAUUGUAUGAGGCCAAGUCACUACACAACAAAAUUUUCUUGAAGAGAAAACUCUAUACUCUUCGAAUGGCGGAAUCUACAAUGGUGACCGACCACAUCAACACAUUGAAGACUCUAUUUUCACAACUCACAAUGUUGGGUCAUAAUAUAGAGGAAAAUGAACGUGCAGAGCUUCUACUUCAAAGUCUACCAGAUUCGUAUGAUCAACUCAUCAUCAACCUGACGAACAACAAUCCAGUGGAGAGUCUAGUUUUCGACGAUGUUGCAGCCUCCGUAUUAAAUGAGGAGAGCAGGCGGAAAAAUAAGGAAAACGGACAAGCAAGUUCGCAGCAAGCAGAAGCGCUAUCGGUGACGAGAGGGAGAUCAACGGAACGUGGCCCCAGUGGGAGUCAAAAUCAGGGUAGAUCAAAAUCUAGAAGUAAGAAGAAUGUUAAAUGCUACAACUGUGGCAAAAAAGGGCACGUCAAGAAAGAGUGUUGGAGUAACCAGAAGAGAAGAGAGGGCAAAGAACCUGAGUCAUCAAAUGCUCAGGGGUGUGUAGCAAGUACCUCGGAUGAUGGCGAAAUUCUUUACAGCGAGGCAACAACUAUUUCAGAAGGCAGAAAACGACUUUCUGAUGUCUGGCUUAUAGACUCAGGAGCUACCUGGCACAUGACCUCUAGAAGAGAAUGGUUCCACACAUAUGAACCUAUCUCAGGAGGAUCUGUAUAUAUGGGUAACGAUCAUGCCUUGGAGAUCGCUGGUAUUGGUACUAUCAAAAUAAAAAUGUUUGAUGGUACAAUUCGCACAAUUGGGGAGGUACGACAUGUCAACGGCCUGAAGAAAAAUCUAUUGUCUUUGGGACAAAUGGAUAGUCAUGGGUACAAAACUCAUGUGGAGAAUGGAAUUAUGAAGAUCGUUAAAGGUGCGCUUGUAUUGAUGAAGGCAGAAAAGAUCGGUGCUAAUCUAUACAUGCUUAAAGGAGAAACGCUACAGGAGGCAGAUGCGUGUGUCGCAUCAAAUGGAGAAGAGUCAACGAUGAUGUGGCAUCUCAAACUUGGCCACAUGUCAGAACAAGGCUUGAAGAUUCUCUCUGAGCAAAAAUUGCUUCCGGGGCUCAAAUCGGUAAGUUUACCAUUUUGCGAGCAUUGUGUUACAAGUAAGCAGCAUAGAUUAAAAUUCAGUAGAUCUAUUGCUAGAAGUAAAUGCAUUCUAGACUUGAUUCAUUCUGAUGUUUGGGAAUCACCGGAUAUAUCCAUGGGAGGUGCAAAAUACAUGGUGACUUUCAUUGAUGAUUAUUCCAGAAGAUGUUGGGUGUAUCCAAUUAAGAAAAAGUCAGAUGUAUUUCCUGUGUUUAAAGAAUACAAAGCGCGGGUGGAACUUGAAUAUGGUAAAAAGAUCAAGUGCUUGAGGACAGAUAAUGGUGGAGAAUAUAUAGACGGCGAGUUUCUUGCUUUCUGUAAGCAAGAAGGUAUUCAGAGGCAGUUCACGGUGGCACACACUCCUCAACAAAAUGGAGUGGCGGAGCGGAUGAACAGAACUCUUACAGAAAGAAUAAGAGCUAUGUUGAAGACUGCUGGUCUACCCAAUUCAUUCUGGGCAGAAGCAGCCAAAACUGCCUGUUAUAUAGUAAAUCGGUCGCCAUCUACAGCAAUUGGGUUGAAGACGGCGAUGGAGAUGUGGACUGGAAAGCCAGCUGAUUAUUCCUACCUACAUGCAUUUGGAUGUCCUGUGUACGUGAUGUACAAUGCCCAAGAAAGAACAAAGCUGGAUCCAAAAUCUAGAAGAUGUAUCUUCUUAGGGUAUGCUGAUGGAGUAAAGGGGUAUCGUCUGUGGGACCCCACUGCCCACAAGAUCGUCAUCAGCAGAGAUGUUAUUUUUGUAGAAGAUCAACUGCAAAUGAAAGAUGGAGAUGAUGGCAGUGUAAAAGAAAAGUCAGAGAUUGUGCCGGUAUAUGUAGAAAAUAAUCCAGAAGAUUCAGAUUCUUCGGAAGCAGCACCAGAGCACGAAGAACAAGAACCAGUCGAGUCUGAGGCUCCAGAAGUUCGUCGGUCAACUCGUGAGAGACGACCGCCGGCGUGGCACUCGGAGUAUGUCACAGAGAUCAACGUUGCAUACUGUCUUCUAACAGAAGAUGGAGAGCCUUCAACUUUCCAUGAAGCUUUAAACAGCUCAGAUGUUGCUUUGUGGAUGACAGCAAUGCAGGAAGAAAUUGAAGCUCUACACAAGAACAAGACAUGGGAACUUGUACCACUACCACGUGGAAGAAAAGCCAUUGGAAACAAAUGGGUCUACAAGAUCAAACGUGAUGGCAAUGACCAAGUGGAGCGGUAUCGUGCAAGACUGGUGGUGAAAGGAUAUGCUCAGAAAGAAGGUAUUGACUUCAACGAGAUAUUUUCUCCAGUGGUUCGACUCACAACAGUCAGAAUAGUCUUGGCGAUGUGUGCUACAUUUGACCUACAUCUUGAGCAGUUAGAUGUGAAAACUGCAUUUCUUCAUGGAGAACUUGAAGAAGAAAUAUAUAUGCUCCAACCAGAAGGUUUUGCAGAAACAGGAAAGGAGAACUUGGUUUGCAGGUUGAACAAAUCUCUAUACGGUCUCAAACAGGCGCCGAGGUGUUGGUAUAAGAGAUUUGAUUCCUUCAUCAUGAGCCUUGGAUACAACAGACUGAGUUCAGACCAUUGUGCAUAUUACAAGAGGUUUGAAGAUAAUGAUUUCAUUAUUUUGUUGUUGUAUGUGGACGACAUGUUGGUAGCAGGUCCCAACAAAGAUCGAAUCCAAGAAUUGAAGGCACAGUUGGCUAGGGAGUUUGAAAUGAAGGACUUGGGACCAGCAAACAAGAUUCUAGGGAUGCAAAUUCACCGAGACAGAAAUAACAGGAAGAUUUGGCUUUCGCAGAAGAAUUACUUGAAGAAAAUCUUGCGACGCUUCAACAUGCAAGAUUGUAAGUCAAUUUCUACCCCACUUCCUGUUAAUUUCAAAUUAUCCUCAAGUAUGUGUCCUAGUAAUGAAGCAGAGAGGAAGGAGAUGUCUCGAGUACCGUAUGCAUCAGCAGUGGGAAGUUUGAUGUUCGCUAUGAUAUGUACUAGACCGGACAUUGCACAAGCAGUGGGAGCAGUCAGUCGAUACAUGGCGAAUCCUGGUGGAGAGCAUUGGAUAGCUGUGAAGAGGAUUCUGAGAUACAUCAGAGGAACCUCAGAUGUUGCAUUAUGUUAUGGAGGAUCAGAGUUUACUGUCAGGGGCUAUGUGGAUUCAGAUUUUGCAGGAGAUCUUGAUAAAAGAAAAUCCACUACUGGUUAUGUGUUUACACUUGCGGGAGCAGCUGUAAGCUGGGUUUCAAAACUGCAGACCAUUGUGGCUUUAUCUACAACAGAAGCAGAAUACAUGGCAGCUACACAAGCUUGCAAGGAAGCUAUUUGGAUACAAAGAUUAUUGGAGGAGCUCGGGUACAAACAACAGAAAAUUCCUGUGUUUUGUGACAGUCAGAGUGCCUUGCACAUUGCAAGGAAUCCAGCCUUUCAUUCCAGGACAAAGCACAUAGGAGUCCAGUAUCACUUCGUUCGUGAAGUAGUGGAAGAUGGAAGUGUGGAUUUACAGAAAAUUCAUACGAAGGAGAACCUAGCAGAUGUUUUGACCAAGCCAAUAAAUACUGAUAAGUUUGUCUGGAGUAGAUCCUCUUGUGGCCUAGCAGCAACGUAGGCAACAUGACUAUGGCGAAGCAGAAAGGAUGGUGUGGAGAUUGAUUGGUCCUUAAUCUAAUCUCCAAGUGGGAGAAAUGUCAAACAAAUGGGCUAUCUAGAUGGUCAACACCAUCUUUAGUUGGAAAAGAAAACAAAAGAAGAAUGGAGAAUGAGGAGUCGCAAUCUAGAAGCUAUAAAUGUUUGAAGAAGAAAUAAGAGGCACACGGCUUUGACAAAAGAAAGAAGAAAAAAUAAUAAUAUAUAAUUGAUGAAUAGUGCCAAAGCUUUCUCUAUAAAUAGAAACGAAGAGAAUGAGCAAAUUCAAUUCCAUUUUGAGAGGCAUUCAAUUUUGUAGAGAGAGUCAAGAGUUGUGAGAAAUAAUUCUUGCAGAGCAGAGAGUCUAGUGAGUAAGAGAUUGGGUGUAUUGGGGUUUUGGGUUGUAAGCCAAAAUAUUACAAUACUUGUAAUCCUUAUUUCACUAGUAAAAUAUUUCCUUCUGUUUUCGCCCGUGGACGUAGGCUAAAAGCCGAACCACGUAAUUUCUGGUGUCCUCUAUUGUGCUUGUUCUUUAUUUUAUUUCCAAUUUUAUUUUAGCUGCGGUCCUGCUGCACCCACCAAUUUCCUAACAGUGAGCUGUGGAAAGACAAAAUGAGGGAUCACUUGAUCUGCUCUGUUUUCAGAAAUGAUCUCCUGUAAAUCCUUACAGUCUCGUAUAUCUAGGUGUUGGAGCUGCUUAAGGCUUCCGAUCAUAGACGCUGAAAAUAUGUAUUUCAGUUUGUGACACCACCACACAACUAAUCGUGUUAAACUUUGAAAGUGAGGAAACAUGGCCGCCGGAAUUUGAUUGUAGUGCCAAAUCUUGUCGACAUUAAUAUUAGAUAUCUCCAAAGCCUCCAAGUUAGGCAACGCAACCUAAAAAAAUAAGAAUUUCUCGUUAGAUCCAAUAUCCAUAUGGGAAGCACUUGUUGAAAUUUUCUUCUUUGAUUACAAAUUAAUGCAAAGUCAGAAUCAAUUUCCAACUGACAGCUGAGAAUGCAUUCUAAUUCAUACUACUUGUUAAGAGCUCAAUUAGUGAGCGCGUGAGAUUCUUUUUAUCCUUUUUUCCAUUUUCUUUCAAAUCUUUAAAUGAUUUAAUUAUUUUCCACGUAUGACAUCAAAACAGAACGCAUGAUAGAAUAAAGUCUGUUAUAUAUAUAUAUAUAAAGAAAAUGUUAGCCUACGCACCUUCUCGUUGAAAAGCAGAGUUGAAAUGUCCAAAGUGAUUUCGCUGGAGCAAUACAUAGUCGUCGAUUCCUCUUGUGACACUUGUCUGUUCGGUGAUGCAGAAGGAGUCUCCACCUCACGGCGGCAAAAACUUGUAACCUCUGGAAGAUUCCCCAGACUCAAAGAUCUUAAUUGAGCAAACUCUAUCUUCUCAAUUGCAUUAUCAACUUCUUCCCCAAUUGCAAAAAUCUCUUUCAUCUUGCUGCAAUUAAUAACUGCAAUUCUCUCAAGUCUUGGAAGGCAUUCUGCAGUAGAGAGCCAAAAGAUAUUACUCAACUUAUCACAAUUAUAUGCUUCUACGGUUUUGAGUUCGUUGAAAGACUCUACUUUGAGCCGAUCAACACAUAUCCUCUCCAUGUUGAUCAAAUUGUGAAGGAUAAGUGACUCCAAAAGAGGAAAGGCAUCACAAGCGACCAUCUCCCUUGAAUCGACGAUGCAAAAGAAGUCUGGAUUAUUUUGAACCCAGAGAAUCUUCAAUUGUGAAAAGCCCUCCGUGUCCAAAUUGAAAAGAACAUUCUCGAUGCCUUGCAGCUUGUCCAACCAUAAGCAUUCAACGUUAUUGAUGCCCUGCAAUUUCAUGGAGCAAAUGUCCAUAAAAUCAAGCUUGAGCUUCAAUGCUCUUGAAAUCUUACGAUCUCUGUCGAUCAAAAAGUGCUGCCGACUUUUAAACCAAUUUUGUCCAGCAAUCAUGGGAUGUGUGAAUAACCCAUUUCCAAUAUGUAUUUUGAACCUUUCGAGCUUUCUGGCCAAAAAGCCUUCUGGUAACAUACUCUCAUUUUUUACAUCAAUUUCUAGAGUGGUUAGCCGAGGUAAAUGCAUCAAUUCAUCAAGGCUAGCAUUACUUCUUUUGCUGUUGGCUCUUUCAACCUCCCAUUCAAUGGAGCAAUUACCCAUAUACAAUUCUUCUAAUCGGAUUAAGCUUGAUAUGACAUUUGGGGCAAUAACUUUCAGACGGAAACAGUCUGUUAAAUCUAACAGCCUUAGCUUAGUCAGUUGACCCAGUGCUUUAGGCAACUCUACAAUAUCAGAUUGCAAAAAGCUGAGGAUUUCUAGAUUUUCCAACUUUCCAAUAAUGGCUAUGUCUAUGCCUCCCAAAAUGCCUUGAUUAAGACAGAGUGCCUGAAGAUUUACUAGAAGACCAAUUGAAGAUGGCAAUGACAAUAACCGCAUUCCAGUAAAAUCCAAAACCCGAAGCUUUUUCGUCCUUUUGAAGAAGUUCUCAGGAAUAUUAGGCACAGCAAAAGAGUUCUUGGGAGACAUGAGUAGAAGUUCAAGUUGUAGAGAUUCGGACCCAUCAGGAAUGUCAUUAAUAAUACUAUCUUUAAAAGAAAUUGCAAAAUAUUUUUUUAAUUCAUCUGCAUUUGGCCAUUUCCAAUCAUCCUCAUUUCUCACCACAAAUCCAAUUUUGUCACGACAUGCAAUUGAAAUGGCAACAUCGCGAACAACGUCGUGCAUAGAAAAGUAUUUACUGCCACCAUCCUCAAGCAACAAACAAGAGUCUCUUAGUUGAUGGACCCAUGCAUGUAAUUUGUUAUGUGCAUCUUCUAGCUUAUGGACACUUUUAAAUACACCCAAGCCCAUGCUAUAUUUGAACAAGUCCAUAAUUGGUGCUGGCGUAAUAAGACUACACAGUAAAAAAGUUUUCUUGAGUUGCUCACCUCUUAAGUACUUGUAACUCAGCUCAAUUGUUGAGUAUGCCUCUGCUGGUACUCCUUCGUCGAAGCUUGCCUCUGAAGGCGUUUGGAGUUCUUGCAAGGCAUUCUUCCACACAGGCAGCUCUUUUUUUCUCAGUGCCUUUGCUACUGUGGUUAGGGCAAUAGGCAAACCUCCGCAUGCCUUGGCUACACUUGUUGCUGUAGAUUCUAAUUCACGAUUUUCCACAUAAUCACCUGCCAUUAUCUUGAACAAUCUCCAGGCUUCUUGUUCAUUUAAAAUGCCAAUCGAGAAGUUUUUUUCAGAUUCCAUCCUUAACAGCACAUCGAGAUCUCUUGUUGUGAAUAAUAAUUUGCAUCCUCUGUGCUCAACUCCAAAAGGAAUUCCAAUAGUCCCCAAAUCAAGAGGUUUCCAGAUGUUAUCCAGAAUCACAAGGAUCUUCUUCUCAUUCUUCAAUCUUUCAUAUAGUCUACUAGCUCUUCUAGACUCAGCUUCCUCGGACAACUGUAGGCCUAACGUUUCCGCAAUUUCCUCUUGGAUCUUUUU
RNAcentral lists this long non-coding RNA (30286 nucleotides) under Citrus x clementina. RNAcentral describes it as "Citrus clementina (C. clementina) long non-coding RNA (CCLE_LNC006224)". Lineage: Eukaryota; Viridiplantae; Streptophyta; Magnoliopsida; Sapindales; Rutaceae. The record is from RNAcentral.